CAUGUCUGUGCUGAUCUUCGUCAGUGGUCGAGAUGUUCGGAGGAGAGGGUCUGAAGGUGCCGCUUCUUGCCCGGAGGUCGGGCUGCAACUGACUGGAGUCCUCCUCCUUCCGCUCCUACACUUCGGAUCAAAGCGGGAUCAAAGAGGUCAAAAACAGACAUGUGACAUCAUCACAACUGUCGGCUUUGCCACGUGACCCGGACUCGAACCUUGACCCACACGCACUGUGAUUUCCACUGGAAACACUUCUGUCCCCCAACAUGGCUCAUAUUAUACACUUCAGGUCGUGGCAGAUGUUCCAUCCACACUGAGUCUGGUUCUUCUUGAGGUCUCUUCCUGUUAAAAGGGAUUUUUUUUCUCUCCAUGGUCGCCGAGUGUUUGCUCAUUGUGAAAACUGUUGGUUUUCUCUAUAAUAUUAUAAGGUCUCAACCUUACUAUGUAAAGUGCUAUGUAAGUGAAUUGAGGGAGGGAUGAAGGAAAAGGUGCUGAUUCCAUACAAAUUGCCCUGCAAAGACGACCUUGGACCCCUCUAUUGCCAACUGUGAUGUUGAGUCAGGUCUCUGCCACCACACCCAGGACCAGGUGAUGGGUUCGUGAGUUAAACCCUGCAUAUUUAUCAAUGGAGGCCACACUACGGGGCCAGGUGGGAACAACAACACCAUGUUGAUCAUGUAUUUUAUAACCUUCUGCUUAUUAGAAUCUAAGCUCUGCUGCCAGGCACGUCAAUGAGCUUUCUCCGCUUCUUCAGAGAGCUCCCUCAGCCCUAGGUCUUUUAGUAGGCAUGAUGUUGAAUUACCCACAAACCCUCUUGCGCCUUCCCAGGUCCACCUCCAUUCUCUCCAUUCCAUUCUAGGGGUAGAUGAACAGUGUUCCGCCGGUACAAUCCUACUGAUGAGAGGCAUUUUGGGAGCACUAGCCAUUCCCGUAUGAAUGAGUUGGCUUCGCUUUCAUCUUUCUCGCGGCUGAUGUGGGGACUUCACACAGCUUCAGUGGCCACAUUACCCUUGGGUACAGGGUGAAGUUAAAACAACACACCUUGUACUUUCCAGGUAGCUGGCUGGAGUCGAUCUUGGCCUGGCCUACUGACAGCUGCUGAAGGACGGUAUUCCCAAUCGCCUUGUCUGAAAGGCUAGAUGUAUAUACUGCCUUCCCAGACUUCUGAUGGGCUGGCCUGCGAUGCGAGGGACGUCUUCUCCGCUGACGGUGAGGGUGGCCCUAUCAUUUUGCUCCCCUUCUUGCAAGGAAAGGCUCCUUGAUUUACAUGCCUUGAAUUUCAUUCUGGCCCAAGUGAUCAGUUCAUCCAGCCUCUUCAAGAGCCUGGACAUCCAUGGCGCAUUUUGGAGCAAGCAUGGGAUGUCAUCAACGUAGCUCGUUAGUGGGGGGAGGUUCCGGCCUGCAGGCAAGAGUCCUCUGCCCACUAUCUGCUCAAGAUGACUUCAAAGGCUGCAAUGAACAGAAUGGAGCAACCCAUUGCGAUUACCAAUUCCAUUUGCUGCCAGAUGGUAGUAGAAUUCUGUAGUUUGAAACACCUAUGCAGGUCCUGGAAGUAGCCCAUCACCAUGGCCUUGAUGUCCUCUGGGAUGUAAAAGAAAUCAAGGGCAAAUGCAAUGAGUUGGUGUGGCACUGGCCCGUACGCAUUUGCUAAAUCUAGCCACAUGACAUGGAGGUCUUUCUUCUCCCUCUUAUUGCGCUGGAUCUGUUACCAGAUCAUGCUGGUCUGUUCCACACAGCCUGGGAUCCCAAUCUUCUGGCAGCUGGUGUCGAUGUAGCCAUUCGCACUCAAGUAGGUGGUCAUUCUUUGCCGUGACUGAGAAAAAAAAUCUUACCCUCAACAUUCAGCAGAGCUAUACUCCUGAACUAGUCUAUUGUCUUGGAGUUCUGCUCUUUAGGGAUGAAGACUGCCGCUGCCCAUUGCAACUCUGAUUGAAUGAUCCGCUUGAUGUUCUCAACAGGGUUCAUUGAAUCUUCACUCUUGGGCAGUUCUUAUUCAGCUUGUAUGGGAUCAUGUUUGGCCCCGGUGCUGAUGCUGAUGUUGCCUGUCUGACUGCCUGCCUGACCUCGCUGAGUUUGGAUGGGGAUGUGUCGAAAAGUACUUAUGGGUCUGUGGACUUUGGCACAUAACCUGGUGGGCCCAGAGACUCAUUCCUCACAGGGUCGCUGUAUUGAACAUGAAUGUGUUCCUCCAGCUCUUCAUUGGAAAUCUCCAGCCUUCCACUGGUCUUCUCCUCGAGGAUUGGUGGGCGCAAAGUGGAAGGGGUCGGUCUCGAAGAAGUUAGCCCUCUCCUUCUCCUUUCUUUUCCUCAGCCACCGGAUGCGCUGUCCUCCGCAGGUUAGCCAGAUCCAAAGAACAAGUGGCAGCCGCCCACAGCACCAUGGAGGUUCGUCUGAACAGAAUUCUGGAGGAGCGUUGGAGAGGUUAAAGACUCAGCUGAGCAAAAUUAAACAUGAAUAAGGACAAGAAAAACAAACAGAAAGCAUCACUCAUUGUGGGUUUCAACAAGCAGCUCAGGCUGAUUGACAUUCUCAAAAGACACAAGAUGCAAUUUGAACCUGCCAUGCUGCUGUCGUUCAUGAAAGCUCUAGACUGGGGGAAGUCAUGAACUCAGAGAUUCAGCAUUUAUUUUUUUAGGAAUAAAGAUAUGCAGAUUUCAGUUUUGACUCCAAUUCUCGAAGCUCCAAGCUGAAAAGGUUUAAAGAGACCAAAGAGAGAGUUGAAGAGACCAAAGCAGUAAAAGACUAUACAUGUACAUUGAUGCGGGCGAGCUCUUUGGCCAUUCUCUCCUCUUGUUCAAUUUGCUUUUCCCUGUAUAUUCUGUCCUCCUCCUCCUGCAGAUCAGAUGCGUAUCCAUAGGUAAUUGUAACUCUGCCUCAUCAAUAGUAAAGACGGGUGUUCCUCGAGGAUCAAUGUUAGGACCUGUCUCAUUUUCUGUUCAUAUAAAUAAUCUCGGUAUAGGUUUAGAUCAGGCAAAGGUUCACCUAUACACGGAUGAUGCAAUCAUUUAUACUACUGCACCAUCACUGCCAGUAUCAAUGGACUCUUUACUGCAGCGGUCAAGGUAUUAGAUGCCGAAAAUACAAAUGAUUACAUGUAAAUUCGCAACUAACAGUGACGGUGUGACGUGGGCUCACCUUCAGCAGGGCGCUCUCCAUCUGCCUCUCCUCCCGCUCCUCCCGCACGUGGCGCGCCUGCCUCCUCCUCUCGGUGCCCUCCUCGUCCCGCACGAUGGCCUGCAGCCGCCGCUCCGUGUGCACGCGCUUGGCCUCCUGCUGCC
Long non-coding RNA from Scophthalmus maximus (turbot), 3272 nucleotides. RefSeq lists it as uncharacterized. The record is from RefSeq and is a predicted model, not a curated record. NCBI's taxonomy places the organism in Eukaryota, Metazoa, Chordata, Actinopteri, Pleuronectiformes, Scophthalmidae. The transcript has 6 exons.